Molecule: RNase P RNA, 387 nt
Filed under: Cyclobacteriaceae bacterium
Lineage: Bacteria; Pseudomonadati; Bacteroidota; Cytophagia; Cytophagales; Cyclobacteriaceae
Description: RNase P RNA component class A
Rfam family: Bacterial RNase P class A
About the family: Ribonuclease P (RNase P) is a ubiquitous endoribonuclease, found in archaea, bacteria and eukarya as well as chloroplasts and mitochondria.
Source: RNAcentral
CCAACAAGCCGCCUUAUCGUUCCCCGCUCAGGCGGGGGGAGGAAAGUCCGGGCAACAGAGGGCAGCGUACUUCCUAACAGGAAGGACCCGAAUAAUAUUGGGUACAGAAAGUGCCACAGAAAACAAACUACCCCGACUCGUUGGGGAAAAGGUGAAAAGGUGAGGUAAGAGCUCACCGGCCUGAUGGUGACAUCAGGUGCUUGGUAAACCUUACGCGUUGAAAAGUCAAAUAGGCCCCGAUCCUGAGCUGCUCGUUCAAUUUCAGCAUUCGCUGGAAUAUCGGGGUGGGUAGACUGAUUGAUCUCGUCAGCGAUGGCGAGACCAGAUAAAUGAUAAGGGCUCUAACUCGUUGGAGUACAGAACCCGGCUUACAGGCUUGCUAUUUUA